Ipomoea triloba (trilobed morning glory) is the source of this 1233-nucleotide long non-coding RNA. RefSeq lists it as uncharacterized. The record is from RefSeq and is a predicted model, not a curated record. The transcript is spliced from 2 exons. NCBI's taxonomy places the organism in Eukaryota, Viridiplantae, Streptophyta, Magnoliopsida, Solanales, Convolvulaceae.
AUUGUGGUAGCUUUUAGACGGCUACCACUUUCUGAGUGACAAAAGAUUCAAAAUUCAAAGUUGGCACUCAUCCCUCCUCGUCUAUAAAAUAAAGGAGUACCCCAAGCUUAGAGAGCAGGUGCGGUAACAAGUAUUCCAAGUGCAAGUAGUGUUCAAAGUGUUAUGUUCAAAUUGAAUCAAGCUCCCUUAGCUAAAGUAAAAUUUGAGGGAUUUUCAAGUCCAGCACUCAACAAACCAACAACCAUCUUAACUUCCACCAGAAGGAGUUGUGAGAUCAACCUAGCAAGAUGACUUAGAGAACGAAGGUACCAUUGGCUAGCAUUCCCAUCUCAAAAAUUCCCAACCAAACACCCCAUGAUACUGUUUUGUCAUUUAAGUUCAUGGCCAUAAGCUUGAUCAAUGGAGUUUGGUUACGUUCUAUCAACCACACACUUAGCAGUAGUCAGCUUUCUCUUCUCUCUCCCAUCAUCACUCAAGCCAUUAUUGGCUUGCAAAAGAGUCUGAUAUUUCCCCUCCCCAAAUUAAAGUUCACCUUCAAUUCUAGGCAUCCUUAAUAAGGAACUCAAGAACUAGCCACGAAAGUGCACUUCAACUCCACUAUACAAGCCUAUCAUACAUCCUAACAGUCUUGUUCUAGUUUUUUUUUUUUUUUUUUGCCAGACCUAAUACACUAAAGAUUGAACUUCCAUGAAUUAUCUUUGAGUUUUGAAAGCAAUUGUGGAAGCAGUGAAGCUCUGAAGGCUUAUUUGUGGCAAAUGCAAAGGAUGGCAAGGCCGGCAAAUUGUAAUAAAUGGAGUAAAAUCGAGCUGUUCUUAUUAAGAAUGUCCUUUCAAGUAUUACCAGUUUAAUUUAUACAUUUGCUGCUGUUUACUGCCAUUAGGAAAUUGGUGAAAUAGUUUGCAAAUUUGUUCUGGGCUUACAGUAAAGACAAGGAUAAGUAUCAUUGGAGCUCUUGGAGAAAUCUAUGUCAGCCCAGAUAGGGAGGGCAAAAUUUCACUGUGUUUAUUUACAUAUAUAGCUGGGGCUGCUCUGAUCUGCUAAGCUAAUAUGGUGGAACUUCAAACCCAAGGAUUCUUUAUGGGUUGCAUUUAUAUAAAAGCCAGAUAUAUACUGUACUAGAGUUCACCUUGUAGACUUGUAGCUAAAAUUUGGCAACACAGAGACUCCUACACUAAUCUAAGAACACAACGAUUGAUAUAAGGGUGAUGUUUGGUUCAGAAAUCGAAAUUGAAA